GGUUAGCUUCUGGAACGGAACAUUUCUCGAAUCAGAUGGCUAUGAAAAGUCGAGUCCAGGAAGCCAUCCACGCAGUUGCCACUCUUACUUUUUCUUAGCCUACUGCCUGACUGGCUCAAGCGUUGGUGAAGCCACGGACGGACUUAUUUAUCAGGGCGGCCUUAGGCCACAUGACAUCCCAAAUUCGGGUAAUUGAUUGGUUGUCGGUCUGACCAAUCACCUUGCGACGCCAUUCGCCAUUUUAAGAUGGGGCAAGCUGCACGGCAGUGGAAUUGAGUGAAGCCCCUAAAGGCCUUCCUAGUUGAGGGCGGAAGUGUCGCUGCGAGGUUCCGUCAGCGACCGAAUAGUCCGGACUCGUGAGAGAGCGACGCUCAUCAUGCUUCGUCGGGAGGCUCGCCUACGCCGCGAGUACUUGUACCGUAAGGCCCGGGAGGAGGCGCAGCGAUCCGUUCAGGAGAAGAAGGAGCGAGUCAAGCGUGCUCUAGAAGAAAACCAGCUGAUUCCCACCGAGUUACGCCGGGAGGCUCUCGCAUUACAGGGGUCCUUGGAGUUUGAUGAUGCUGGUGGUGAAGGUAAACAGCUCUGCAGCUUUCUUCCACACUGAACCAACUUCUGUGCCCACUGGGCUCCAUGUCCUCCUUGGCCACACUGGGCCAUUUCCCACCUGAUAGAAGUGUCCAGGUGUAACCAGCCAUGUGGAUGACGAGUACCGAUGGGC
RNAcentral lists this long non-coding RNA (718 nucleotides) under Rattus norvegicus (Norway rat). Its description in RNAcentral is "long non-coding RNA NONRATT029892". The record is from RNAcentral. Lineage: Eukaryota; Metazoa; Chordata; Mammalia; Rodentia; Muridae.